UACGUAGGGGGCUAGCGUUGUCCGGAUUUAUUGGGCGUAAAGAGCGUGUAGGCGGCCAGGUAGGUCUGCUGUGAAAAACUCGAGGCUCAACCUCGAGACGUCGGCGGAAACCAUCUGGCUAGAGUCCGGAAGAGGAGAGUGGAAUUCCUGGUGUAGCGGUGAAAUGCGCAGAUAUCAGGAAGAACACCCGUGGCGAAGGCGGCUCUCUGGGACGGUACUGACGCUGAGACGCGAAAGCGUGGGGAGCGAACAGG
RNAcentral lists this ribosomal RNA (254 nucleotides) under uncultured bacterium. RNAcentral's name for it is "partial 16S ribosomal RNA". It matches the Rfam family "Bacterial small subunit ribosomal RNA", at positions 524 to 776 of the family's 1533-position model. The record is from RNAcentral.